RNAcentral lists this ribosomal RNA (276 nucleotides) under uncultured Lachnospiraceae bacterium. RNAcentral describes it as "partial 16S ribosomal RNA". It matches the Rfam family "Bacterial small subunit ribosomal RNA", at positions 52 to 339 of the family's 1533-position model. The record is from RNAcentral. Lineage: Bacteria; Bacillati; Bacillota; Clostridia; Lachnospirales; Lachnospiraceae.
ACUUACAUUGAAGCCUAGCGAUAUGUAAGUUAGUGGCGGACGGGUGAGUAACGCGUGGGUAACCUGCCUUGUACUGGGGGACAACAGUUGGAAACGACUGCUAAUACCGCAUAAGCGCACAGUACCGCAUGGUACAGUGUGAAAAACUCCGGUGGUAUGAGAUGGACCCGCGUCUGAUUAGCCAGUUGGCGGGGUAACGGCCCACCAAGGCGACGAUCAGUAGCCGACCUGAGAGGGUGACCGGCCACAUUGGGACUGAGACACGGCCCAGACUCC